UUGGCUACGCGAGCGCAUGAGUUGUGUUGGACCUGUGAUUGCUGAGAGGACCCCUGCCAUUGUGCGGCUGACUCUCUGCACCUGUGUCUCUUCAAAUGUGGGCUACCUAGCCCUCUACUUGCCCGACGAGUGCUUGCAUGAUGCUACCAGCUUGAUGGAAGUUGCAUUAAAAAAUGGUGGCUUUGUUGUGCUAGCCUUUGGGCAUAGCACAAUGACUUUAUAGUGUCCACGGUGUUGCCUCAUGUAGCCAGCCUUUCGAGCCGGCUACAUCAAGGCCGCCUCGUGUACCAUAUUGGUUCCGGAUGUGGCUGACGAUAAAGGCUGAAGGCGCUCUUGUGUUGCAUGCCUAGCAAAAAAUGGACCGAUUGGAAACAACGACAGCUAGCUCGGCCAAUGCCUCGUGCAGAAUCCGGUGCUGCUUUGUCGAUGAGGACGUGCUACCUGGUUGAUCCUGCCAGUAGUCAUAUGCUUGUCU
RNAcentral lists this unclassified non-coding RNA (475 nucleotides) under Oedochloa cordata. Its description in RNAcentral is "partial external transcribed spacer". The record is from RNAcentral. Lineage: Eukaryota; Viridiplantae; Streptophyta; Magnoliopsida; Poales; Poaceae.